Molecule: ribosomal RNA, 402 nt
Filed under: uncultured prokaryote
Description: bacterial SSU rRNA
Rfam family: Bacterial small subunit ribosomal RNA
Source: RNAcentral
UGAGGAAUUUUGCGCAAUGGGAGCAAUCCUGACGCAGCAACGCCGCGUGGGUGACGAAGGCCUUCGGGUCGUAAAGCCCUGUCAGGUGGGAAGAUAAUGACGGUACCCGCAGAAUAAGCCCCGGCUAACUUCGUGCCAGCAGCCGCGGUAAUACGAAGGGGGCUAGCGUUGCUCGGAAUCACUGGGCGUAAAGCGCACGUAGGCGGAUUCUUAAGUCAGAGGUGAAAGCCUGGAGCUCAACUCCAGAACUGCCUUUGAUACUGGGAGUCUCGAGUUCGGGAGAGGUGAGUGGAACUGCGAGUGUAGAGGUGAAAUUCGUAGAUAUUCGCAAGAACACCAGUGGCGAAGGCGGCUCACUGGCCCGAUACUGACGCUGAGGUGCGAAAGCGUGGGGAGCAAACA